UAGCUCAGCUGGAUAGAGCAAGCGCCUCCUAAGCGCUAGGUCGGAGGUUCGAAUCCUCU
RNAcentral lists this transfer RNA (59 nucleotides) under Gammaproteobacteria bacterium. RNAcentral describes it as "tRNA-Arg". It matches the Rfam family "tRNA", at positions 8 to 63 of the family's 71-position model. Rfam says of the family: Transfer RNA (tRNA) molecules are approximately 80 nucleotides in length. Their secondary structure includes four short double-helical elements and three loops (D, anti-codon, and T loops). The record is from RNAcentral. Lineage: Bacteria; Pseudomonadati; Pseudomonadota; Gammaproteobacteria.